This 402-nucleotide ribosomal RNA is filed under the name Verrucomicrobiota bacterium. Its description in RNAcentral is "Verrucomicrobia bacterium partial 16S ribosomal RNA". It matches the Rfam family "Bacterial small subunit ribosomal RNA", at positions 355 to 776 of the family's 1533-position model. Lineage: Bacteria; Pseudomonadati; Verrucomicrobiota. The record is from RNAcentral.
UGGGGAAUUUUGCACAAUGGGGGAAACCCUGAUGCAGCGACGCCGCGUGAUUUAGAAGGCCUUCGGGUUGUAAAAAUCUUUUGUAUGGGAAGAAAAUGACAGUACCAUACGAAUAAGGACCGGCUAAUUACGUGCCAGCAGCCGCGGUAAUACGUAGGGGGCAAGCGUUAUCCGGAUUCAUUGGGCGUAAAGCGCGCGUAGGCGGUUUGUUAGGUCAGGAGUUAAAUCUGGGGGCUCAACCCCUAUCCGCUCCUGAUACCGGCAGGCUUGAGUCUGGUAGGGGAAGGCGGAAUUCCAAGUGUAGCGGUGAAAUGCGCAGAUAUUUGGAAGAACACCGGUGGCGAAGGCGGCCUUCUGGGCCACGACUGACGCUGAGGCGCGAAAGCUAGGGGAGCGAACAGG